Molecule: unclassified non-coding RNA, 335 nt
Filed under: soil metagenome
Description: partial contains 5.8S ribosomal RNA, internal transcribed spacer 2, and large subunit ribosomal RNA
Rfam family: 5.8S ribosomal RNA (bases 1-120)
Source: RNAcentral
GAUGAAGAACGUAGCGAAAUGCGAUAAGUAGUGUGAAUUGCAGAAUUCAGUGAAUCAUCGAAUCUUUGAACGCACAUUGCGCCCCAUGGUAUUCCGUGGGGCAUGCCUGUUCGAGCGUCAUUUACCCCCUCAAGCUCCGCUUGGUGUUGGGCGUCUGUCCCGCUUCGCGCGCGGACUCGCCCCAAAGGUAUUGGCAGCGGUCGUGCCAGCUUCUCGCGCAGCACAUUGCGCUUCUCGAGGCACCGGUGGGCCCGCGUCCAUCAAGCUCACCCCCCCAGUUUGACCUCGGAUCAGGUAGGGAUACCCGCUGAACUUAAGCAUAUCAAAGCGGAGGA